CGGGGAACUUUACGGGGACCCCAGCGUUUAUUAGAUUUAAACCAAUAUUCCGCAAGGUCUACUGAGAUGAUUCAUGAUAACUGAUCGAAUUGCUGGAACUCUAGCAAUAAAUCAUGUAGGUUUCUCCUUCCCAUCAGCUUGAUGGUAGUGUAUUGGACAACCAUGGCAUUCACGGGCUAUCGGGGGAUUAGGGUUCGAUUCCGGAGAGGGGAGCCUGAUAAACGGCUACCACUUCUACGGAAGGCAGCAGGCGCGAAAAUUAUCCAAUCCUGAUUCAGGGAGGUAGUGAAAGAAAUAAUGAACUAGGAUUUAUCCUGGGAUCACAAUGGGCUUGAUUUGCAAACACUUAGCGAGGAACAAUUGGAGGGCAAGUCUGGUGCCAGCAGCCGCGGUAAUUCCAGCUCCAAUAGAGUAUAUAAACGUU
Molecule: ribosomal RNA, 424 nt
Filed under: uncultured eukaryote
Lineage: Eukaryota
Description: SSU rRNA
Rfam family: Eukaryotic small subunit ribosomal RNA
Source: RNAcentral